CCUAAUCCCUAGCCAGCCAUGUGGGAACAACAUUCUCCUAAUCCCUAGCCAGCCAUGUGGGAACAACAUUCUCCUAAUCCCUAGCCAGGCCAGCCGUGUGGGAACAACAUUCUCCUAAUCCCUAGCCAGGCCAGCCAUGUGGGAACAACAUUCUCCUAAUCCCUAGCCAGCCAUGUGGGAACAACAUUCUCCUAAUCCCUAGCCAGGCCAGCCAUGUGGGAACAACAUUCUCCUAAUCCCUAGCCAGCCAG
This is a long non-coding RNA of Oncorhynchus tshawytscha (Chinook salmon), 251 nucleotides long. Lineage: Eukaryota; Metazoa; Chordata; Actinopteri; Salmoniformes; Salmonidae. The record is from Ensembl.